GCUUAAAAAAAGGAAUUGACAUUUCUGUAGCUUCCAGAUAGCACUUCGUGGAUUCUGUGGAAAAUCAAAGAAAGUAGAAGGGUUUUGGAAUCAAACAGAUCGGCAUGCAGUUCUCAGCAGCGAUCCGCUGUUAUGUGACCUUGGACCUGGCUCUUUCUCCCUCCCAUGGUUCAGCUUUUGGCCAUUUCAUUCGUCAUUUGCACCUACGGUGGGAAGAAGACAGAGAAGCUGAAGCACAGCUGGAAGGGAGAGAAAGCGAGAGACAGACGGGCAGCCUAGGAGGUCAUCAACCAGGUCUUGUGGUGCUGGGAACAGAACCCUCACUGUGGUCUCCUUUUUCAUCCAGCCAGGAUUUUGGAGACCUGAGAUUAGAAAGGAAUAAUUUUAAAGCUCUAGGACUUACAAUUAAUUCCUAAUGAAAUUCUCCCUUUCUCCAAGUGCAGGUGUGGUAAAAGUGUCUCACUGUGAAAUAAGUGUCCCGCUGGUUGGAGCUACACCUUUGAGUGUUUGGGGGGAGAGAAAUGGAAAUCCAUUUGGAAGAGGAUUCUGUAUGAAGCAUUAGAAGUGACUCUUGGUUAUCUUUCUGCUGUGAGGGUGACACACCCUGAAGUAGGACUGCAAGAAAUAGGGAAGGGAGGCCCUGACCCACCCCAGGCACCCACUGAAACCAGGCUCCAAGGUGGCCUUUUAGCUAAAGCAGGAUGGAAAUGCCCAGGACCUUGUUUUUUCCAGAGAGUCAGAGGAGGACUGGGACAGCACAGGUUCAGCAGAGGUCUCUGGGAGACAGUCAACCCGGAACCUGAGCCAGGGCUGGGGAGCAGGCUG
Molecule: long non-coding RNA, 825 nt
Filed under: Fukomys damarensis (Damara mole-rat)
Lineage: Eukaryota; Metazoa; Chordata; Mammalia; Rodentia; Bathyergidae
Description: lncRNA (ENSFDAG00000024339.1)
Source: RNAcentral